Molecule: ribosomal RNA, 238 nt
Filed under: uncultured eukaryote
Lineage: Eukaryota
Description: partial small subunit ribosomal RNA
Rfam family: Eukaryotic small subunit ribosomal RNA
Source: RNAcentral
AGUUGGUGGAGUGAUUUGUCUGGUUAAUUCCGUUAACGAACGAGACCUCAGCCUGCUAACUAGUAGUGCCUAUCCUCUGUUCCGUUAUCUCUCGUCAUUGGGCGUUCGUUCUGCGUUUCGUCCCUUGAUGUGAGUGGAGCUUCCGGGAUAGGAUAUGGGUUUUACUUCGUAAAGCUCAGUUCGACUUCUUAGAGGGACUAUCUGUGUGUAGCAGAUGGAAGUUUGAGGCAAUAACAGG